RNAcentral lists this non-coding RNA (63 nucleotides) under Mycobacterium triviale. RNAcentral describes it as "Fluoride sequence". It matches the Rfam family "Fluoride riboswitch aptamer (crcB RNA motif)". The record is from RNAcentral. Lineage: Bacteria; Bacillati; Actinomycetota; Actinomycetes; Mycobacteriales; Mycobacteriaceae.
AAUCAAAUCGGCGAUGAAGCUCGCCCUUAACCGCCGAACCCGGCUGAUGGCUUCUACCCGAAG